GGGGGAUAGAUAACAAUAAUCUCUAAAACAUUGUGGAUAGGAUAACAAAGUAAUGAAUAACAAUAAGUAAGGUUUUUGAGGAAACGCUUCUCAAAUUUUAGGAGGAAUAAUAUGGUUUAGGUUAAUAGCAGAUAUUAUUAUUUUCAAGUUGCAUGAAUUGAAAUAAUUUAUGCCCAUCUCAAAAAAAAAAAAAAAAAAAGAAAAGUUUAUUUAACUGCACAUAAUUUUGCCUGCUGCCAUAGUAACUUAUGACAAUAAGAUAAAAAUAUAGGAAAGUGAAUUUCUGUUUUGUUAAUGUCAGUAUUUUCAGUCAAAUUAUUAAUGUCGAGAUUCUUAGUGUUUCUAUUGCCUAACUACUAACAGAAAAAAGUUGUAAAAUCAGGCCAAUAUAACAAAAUUUGUUACAGGCUGUAAAGCCACUGAGUGAGAAAAGUGUAAAACUAUUGUACACAACAGCAAAUCUCUUGCAAGUUUUCUGUCAACAGAAGAUUGGCUAGUAUCUCUUUCUGUCAAUACAUUUGGAAAAAAAACAACCACCCCCCAACAACACAGAAAACAAAACAAAAAACAAACAAAAAACCAACACCUCAUAUGUGAGGAAUAAAACCCUCACCUUAAGUGAAAAAAGUGAUGGUUUUAGUUACACUUGAGUGACUUUGCAAUUAGUCAGUAGCGGCAGAAAUCUGAUACAUUUGCAUACAGAUAUCACUGGUAGAGUGCCACGCUUCUCUGAAAAUCACAUUUUGAUUUAUUGAUUGGCCAAGUACCACCUGGUGCCUCAGCAAUGCCAGACGAGUCCCAUGUAAAUCAACACAUCCCCAAGUUCCUUGAUUGGAGUUAUAGUAAGGCAAAUGGUAAUCUCCUGGGCUGAAUGCCUGCAUUUGAAAAAGCAUUUCUUUCCAUGAUUUGCAGUUUGUCAUUAAUAGCAUGUACCAGGAGCUGCAACUGAAGUUCUCAAGUCUUCAUGAAGAUGCCUGUGCUUGCUCAGAUCUCCCAGUGCCAUGUCAAACCAGUCUCCUUGUUAAAAUUUGGUGGUUCUCAGCCUAUUGUGGUCAAAACGAGCAGGUGAGCUGCAACACUCACUUGAGACUUGUCUUCCAGUCCCCUGUAUGGAGACCACGAGCACUGCUGAGUAAGAGAGCAAGAGGCAUCCAUUUAAUCUAAAUGAUCAAGUAGCUGCUCCUUCCUCAUCAAGGAUUUAACUUCAUAUACUGUUGCUGCCUGAAUCAUUUAUGAAGAGAACCACAAUCCUUUUGAGGAUACGGCUGAAUGAGUAGCAGUUAAUCUGAAAGAUUGAUACCAUUUCCAAGAGGGAGAAUGGCACAGAAUCACAUUCAGAGAAUGCACCUAUUUUGUGAAAUUUCUUCUUAGGAUGUAUCCUUUUGGAAUCUGGAAUCUUGCACCUGUGUGUGCAGAAUGACAUUAAAAUCUUUCUCAAUUUCAAUAUUUUAUAGCAGUUAUUUUUCUACUAUUAUUUCUCCCACACAACAUGGCUGCAGAAAAGAAAGAAUUAAUGUUGAAAGGCUAAUCGUUGAAAACUCUGGGAGUGCCAGAAGUAAGAUUACAACCAUGUGUCAUCCCAUUUGGGUACUACACUGUGCAGUACUAUUUACCUAGAUUAUAUUUUCUCCCCCACACCCUGAACGUGGUAUUUUCAGUGCACACAGUGUACUCCCUUAGUGUUCUGUUCUGCUGCCACCAAUGAGUGACCAUAGGCCAUUUUUACUGAUUUUCAGCAGUUUCCAGAGAAGAGUCAAGACCCCACAUUGAGCUGAGCCUGGAUAAGUGGGAUUAUCAGCCUGCACUUUCCAUUGUUGAAGUAUAUGGGAUUCACUGCCUGACCCAAAAGGAAUGGCUAGAAAUGGGGUCAGAGACAAAAGAGAAAAGUGAGGUACUGCUAAUCUGCAAUAUUCAUAAACAACUUUGAGGCCACAUUCUGGAAUGGUGUAGUGAUUUCAUCUCAUUGCCCUGCACUUUGUCACCUUGAAGACAGGCAUGGAAAGGGUGGAAACAGGCAGAGAUGAGCAGCCAGGAGCUUAUUUUCUAUACCAACAGAAAUAGCUAUAGCUGCAAAAAUGCUAAAUCCAGCACUUGUUCCUAAGCACCUCUGGCUGGAACCAACAACUUUGGCCUUAACUGUAGAGCUGGACUGCCUCCAGGUUUA
RNAcentral lists this long non-coding RNA (2164 nucleotides) under Anas platyrhynchos platyrhynchos (common mallard). Its description in RNAcentral is "lncRNA (ENSAPLG00000017849.1)". Lineage: Eukaryota; Metazoa; Chordata; Aves; Anseriformes; Anatidae. The record is from RNAcentral.